Molecule: ribosomal RNA, 1314 nt
Filed under: Tchangsinaia piscicula
Lineage: Eukaryota; Metazoa; Mollusca; Bivalvia; Unionida; Unionidae
Description: 16S ribosomal RNA
Source: RNAcentral
AUAUACCUGUAUUCUAACAACAUCACAAUUUUAUAAGACAAAAUGUAACUGAUAUUAGUACUUCAAAACAAAAUUUAACCAUAAAUACCCGCAAGGUCAACUCGCACCAUUAAACUUUAGAAGUGAUAUGCUCACCUACCUUUUGCAUAAUGUAAUUGCAAGAAAAAUCAAUUUUAAAUUGUUUCCCGAAAAGUGGAGAGCUACUAUAAACAUUGACUUUUAAUGUAACACUAUUAAUAACACAGUCUAUAGUAGCAGCGAAAUACCUAUCGAGCCACUUGAUAGCUGGUUAUUCCUAAAAGACAUGUAAGUGUCUUCUUACAGCACAAGUUAAACCUUCCUUGCUGUAAGCAAAACCCUGAGAAGGACAAGCUUCUUAGGGCAACCAGAAAUAAUAAAUAACAACACCUCAUAAAGGCUUAAAAACAGCCAAACAUAUCCGUUAUAGGAAAUGACACUAAAAACCAAAAUAAAACACAAAAUUCUACCUACCAAGGAACCUAAAAGAGUAACCAAACCUUUAAUGAACUGGCAAUUAUUAGUAUCUCAACAGAGCACUUAACAAGUUAUCCUAUAAAUAAAAUAACCUCUUAAAACCAAACCAACCUAACUUACCAUUGGUAAUGAAUUCGGCAAAACCUUUCUUUGCCUGUUUAUCAAAAACAUCGUCUUUUGCCACCUACACUUAUAAAAGAUACUGCCUGCCCCAUGAUUACUUAAAUUAAAUGGCCGCGUUAGCGUGAGCGUGCUAAGGUAGCGUAAUAAACAGCUCUCUAAUUAGGAGCCAGUGAAUGGCCAAACAAAGAAAAACUCUAUCACCAAUGACAAGAAAAUUUUUCUUCUAAGUGAAAAGACUUAGAUGAAAGAAAAAGACAAAAAGACCCCGCGGAACUUCCUUACAGCUUUAUACUUAAAUUUAAACUUACGCUUAUAGCUAAUUGGUUGGUUGGGGCAACCUUGGAGCAAACAAAACCUCCGCCUAUUCAAAAUAACCAUAUAAAACUUACUAUGGACUACACUCGCAGUUACCCCGGGGAUAACAGCGUAAUCCAACUUAAGAGUACGAAUCGAAAGUUGGGUUUGCGACCUCGAUGUUGGCUUAGGGAAAGCAAUUUGGCGCAGCCGCUAAAUUUACAAUGCCAGUCUGUUCGACUACUAACCCCCUACAUGAGCUGAGUUAAGACCGGCGAGAGCUAGGUUGGAUUCUAUCUUUUCUUUUUUAAACCAAAUUCUUUAUUGUACGAAAGGACCCAAAGAAGCACUUAAAAUAAGUGUCCUUACUUAAACCAGCACAAUAACUCAAUCCAAAAUCCA